Molecule: unclassified non-coding RNA, 377 nt
Filed under: plant metagenome
Description: partial contains 5.8S ribosomal RNA, internal transcribed spacer 2, and large subunit ribosomal RNA
Rfam family: 5.8S ribosomal RNA (bases 1-104)
Source: RNAcentral
AAAUGCGAUAAGUAAUGUGAAUUGCAGAAUUCAGUGAAUCAUCGAAUCUUUGAACGCACCUUGCGCUCCUUGGUAUUCCUUGGAGCAUGCCUGUUUGAGUAUCAUGAAAUCUUCAAGGUAAAUCUUUUGUUAACUCAAUUGGUUUCUACUUUGGUAUUGGAGGUCUUUGCAGCUUCACACCUGCUCCUCUUUGUUCAUUAGCUGGAUCUCAGUGUUAUGCUUGGUUCCACUCGGCGUGAUAAGUUAUCUAUCGCUGAGGACACUGUAAAAGGUGGCCAAGGUAAAUGCAGAUGAACCGCUUCUAAUAGUCCAUUGACUUGGACAAUACUUUUAUGAUCUGAUCUCAAAUCAGGUAGGACUACCCGCUGAACUUAAGC